This 697-nucleotide ribosomal RNA is filed under the name uncultured bacterium. Its description in RNAcentral is "bacterial SSU rRNA". It matches the Rfam family "Bacterial small subunit ribosomal RNA", at positions 111 to 822 of the family's 1533-position model. The record is from RNAcentral.
UAACGUGUGGGCAACCUGUCUCAUACAGAGGGAAAUNAUGUGAAAACGUGACUAAUACCGCAUGUCAUUUGUUGAAGGCAUCUUCGACAAAGAAAAGGAGCAAUCCGGUAUGAGAUGGGCCCGCAUCUGAUUAGCUAGUUGGUGAGAUAACAGCCCACCAAGGCAACGAUCAGUAGCCGACCUGGGAGGGUGAUCGGCCACAUUGGGACUGAGACACGGCCCAAACUCCUACGGGAGGCAGCAGUGGGGAAUAUUGCACAAUGGGGGAAACCCUGAUGCAGCAACGCCGCGUGAAGGAAGACGGUUUUCGGAUUGUAAACUUCUAUCAAUAGGGANGAAGAAAGUGACGGUACCUAAAUAAGAAGCCCCGGCUAACUACGUGCCAGCAGCCGCGGUAAUACGUAGGGGGCAAGCGUUAUCCGGAAUUACUGGGUGUAAAGGGUGAGUAGGCGGCAUGACAAGUAAGAUGUGAAAGCCCGUGGCUUAACCACGGGAUUGCAUUUUAAACUGUUGAGCUAGAGUACAGGAGAGGAAAGCGGAAUUCCCAGUGUAGCGGUGAAAUGCGUAGAUAUUGGGAAGAACACCAGUGGCGAAGGCGGCUUUCUGGACUGAAACUGACGCUGAGGCACGAAAGCGUGGGGAGCAAACAGGAUUAGAUACCCUGGUAGUCCACGCCGUAAACGAUGAGUGCUAGGUG